Molecule: long non-coding RNA, 1263 nt
Filed under: Penaeus japonicus
Lineage: Eukaryota; Metazoa; Arthropoda; Malacostraca; Decapoda; Penaeidae
Description: uncharacterized LOC122266997, transcript variant X1
Source: RNAcentral
UUGCAAAGACCAAAGGACGCAGGUUAGGAGCGUCCUCAUCGAAGCCUUGUGUCACGGUUGCAAGAUUGCAGGACGUGUGGUUGCUUUGGCAUUGCUACUAAGACACCGAGCUUGCACUUUUGAAGGGUUAGAUCCGGGUUUUGCUAUCGAGAAGCCGUUUUACGCAUGCGCAGGAGUGGAAGUGAAUGGGCUGCUUAAGGAGUAUAUAAGGCGCACUCUGCACACGGGACUAACUUCAGAAAUCUCUCCGAACUGAACUGAACUGAACUGAAAGCGAGUAACUCUUCGCAGCAGAGGAUAUUAUCACUGCCUACUGGUUUGACUCCUAUACUCGGGCCUCAACAACACUGUUCAAGAUGCGCUUCCUUCUUGCGUUUUUUACACUGUUCUGCUUCUUGGGUAUAAUCCUUGCCAGCCCUCUUCCUCAGACCAGGCAAAACUCAAGAAACACAGAGCCACAAAAUAACGUUUUGAGACAGCAGAGCUCCGGAAACGAUCUUCAGAGGCAAUUGAAUCGCCGGAAACCCUAUGUAUUUGACGAUUUUCUCGGGGGUCGAUAACUGACAACGAUAGAUUAUAUCGCUGUAAGGCUGUAAUUGUCUAGUGUUGUGUUCUUGUGUCCACAAUUCUGGACGUGCAAGUAUGGUACCUUAAUAAUUUAAUUCUAUAUACUAGAUAACAAAGUGUAUAUUUAUCAUUACUCCUUAAUGAUGUGAUUCUAUCUUAUAUAUUAGAUAACAAAAUGUAUAUUUAUCAUUACUCCUUAAUGAUGUAAUUCUAUCUUAUAUAUUAGAUAACAAAAUGUAUAUUUAUCAUUACUCCUUAAUGAUGUAAUUCUAUCAUAUAUUUUAUAUACCAAAACGUAUCUUUAUCAUUGCUGUUGUAUGUUCGCCGUUGCCUAACCUUGGAUAUAUGGGUAAUUUAGAAACACACGGAGCUAUAUUUUGAUUUAUAUACAUACCUAUGUGCAUUAUUACAGAAUCUCCAUUUUGUGAAUGAUAUAGGAGGCUAUGUAUAAAUAAACCAAACAUAGACCAAAGAAAAUAAAGAUUUUGAGAUGCUUUUCUUUAAAAAUGUGGAAAUAAGCUCUUUUACUUUAAGCUACAGAAAAUAAACCCUGAAUUAUGUUCAAACGAAUCAUGAUAAUAAUACUUACACAGCUAUCAAAUUAGUUAUCUCGAAAUUAAAUCGAAAAUACGAACGCGUUUACUUUUCUUAGGAGGUAAACAACUUUCCAACUCAAGAAUCGAACGCGUUUGAAAA